RNAcentral lists this ribosomal RNA (253 nucleotides) under uncultured bacterium. Its description in RNAcentral is "partial 16S ribosomal RNA". It matches the Rfam family "Bacterial small subunit ribosomal RNA", at positions 524 to 776 of the family's 1533-position model. The record is from RNAcentral.
GACGAACCGUCCAAACGUUAUUCGGUAUCACUGGGCUUAAAGGGUGCGUAGGCGGUCUGGUAAGUUGGGUGUGAAAUCCCUCGGCUCAACCGAGGAACUGCGCCCAAUACUGCCGGACUCGAGGGAGGCAGAGGUAAGCGGAGCUUGCGGUGGAGCGGUGAAAUGCAUUGAUAUCGCAGGGAACACCAGUGGCGAAGGCGGCUUACUGGGCCUUUUCUGACGCUGAGGCAAGAAAGCUAGGGGAGCGAACGGG